CAAAAAAAAAAAAAAAAACACACAAGAAAAAAAAAAUUCCAUGUUUUCCUGAUUUGCACGAAAUUUUAUACCACAUGAUGUGCCUUGCCUUCGAAGCCUAAGUAUUACUGGACCCGAUAUCAGUGCGAGGGAGUCGCUGCAUGCCCGGGGCUCCCGGGGGGCCGGGGGGCGGGGGGGGCCAGGGGCCGCUGCCCCCCCCUCGCCUCCUGCAUGGCUUCUUCUCGGCCAGAAAAGUCCCUUUUUCUCUCUAUUCUUCUUUUCUAACCAAUUUUCCCCCUCAGAAACGUCUUCCAGUUGGUAAUACCGAUGCAUCCUCUGCGCCAACACACCGGAAUAUGCAAUAGCUGUGGGGGGGGGAGCCGGCCGGGGGGGCGGCCACCCCUUUGCUUUGCCUCUCUUUUCUUUGUUUUCCUUCCCUUUUGGGGGGGUUUUGAUUUGGUUUUUUUUUUUUUUUCUGCUUCCAGCAACCAAAGGCAGCGAGGCGGGAGGCAGCAGGGACCCCGGGCCAGAGGGGGGAGCCGGUGUCCGGCAGGACUGACCGAGGCGCGGGGGGAGCAGGGCUGGAGACCCUCAGGGCUGAUCCUCACGGGGGGCCAGGGUGUCCCACCCCUCCCCAUUCGGGCACCCCCGCUUUUUAAUUGGUUUUCAAUGGGGCGCAGAGGCAGGAGGGCUGAGCCCAGCUGCUCUCGUGACAGGAAUGGAACCGUGUGAAUGUAGCUGUGCGUCCCCCGGGCUGGCGUCAGGGGGGUCACAGCCUGCCCCCCACCUCCACCCCAUCGGCUUCAUCCCCGGGCUGCCGCUGGCACAGCGGGGAAUGGCAGCAGGUGCCUUCUUGCCGCCUCUCCCUGCUGUGCCCGCUGCCGAGAGGGGCCCGACACCCCC
This is a long non-coding RNA of Ficedula albicollis (Collared flycatcher), 882 nucleotides long. RefSeq lists it as uncharacterized. The record is from RefSeq and is a predicted model, not a curated record. The transcript has 2 exons. Lineage: Eukaryota; Metazoa; Chordata; Aves; Passeriformes; Muscicapidae.